This 240-nucleotide unclassified non-coding RNA is filed under the name plant metagenome. RNAcentral describes it as "partial contains small subunit ribosomal RNA and internal transcribed spacer 1". The stretch from base 1 to 46 matches the Rfam family "Eukaryotic small subunit ribosomal RNA", at positions 1786 to 1831 of the family's 1831-position model. The record is from RNAcentral.
AAGUCGUAACAAGGUUUCCGUAGGUGAACCUGCGGAAGGAUCAUUAACGAGUAAGGGUCCUGACCGGCCCGACCUCCAACCCUUUGUCGUUGAAAAACCACUGUUGCUUUGGCGGGACAGCGGGUCCCCAGGGGCCCGCCGCCGGUCUUCGCCGGCCGAGCGCCUGCCAGAGUCCCAAACCAUAAACAUCCUUAGUUCACAGAACAGUAACGUCUGAGUAAAUUGAUAAAUCAAUCAAAA